This is a non-coding RNA of Bemisia tabaci, 538 nucleotides long. The record is from RefSeq and is a predicted model, not a curated record. NCBI's taxonomy places the organism in Eukaryota, Metazoa, Arthropoda, Insecta, Hemiptera, Aleyrodidae.
AUUUCAACUUAGUGUUUACCUUGUCUCCUAUCAGAAAUGAAUAACUUUAUUGGUAAUUUAUGGUUCUUAUGUCUCAUUCGCAUCAUUUUAUGUUGCUCCAUAAGCGCUGAAUUGGUUGCACUUGACAACGCUGCAGCUUUCGAGGCGUUUAAUUGCAUCGCCGACUGAGCUUCAUCCCUAGAGAUCGUAAAUCAUCAAGACUCGAUGAGGUAUGGACCGAUUCUAUCUUCCUUCGGUCCCUUCUUGAUCGUUCUUGGUUGAAAAAACCAGCGAGUUGACCUUAUAAAAUUGGCACAUGCCUCCGAUCGGUUUACGUAUUUUAUUGGUACGUUUUAUCGCAGAUUAGUAUUGUAUAAUACUAACUACCUCGCGGCCCAACCCCGCGAAGCGCUUCGCGCCUCGGGUGUUAAGCGUUACACUUUACUUACAUGAUUUUAUGUUAUUGCGUGGAGUAUGAUAACCCGCAUUCAGCCUUAUAAAAGCUCAUUGCGAUCGAAAAUAAAGAACGAAAGGCAAUUUUAAUUACAUUAUCUUUGAA